Molecule: unclassified non-coding RNA, 306 nt
Filed under: Hevea brasiliensis (rubber tree)
Lineage: Eukaryota; Viridiplantae; Streptophyta; Magnoliopsida; Malpighiales; Euphorbiaceae
Source: RNAcentral
AAACUUCAUAGCACUUUCAGUCCUGCAAGCCAAGAAAGCCCCUUUAUUUAUUACUCAUCCCAAUAAUAUAAACCAGAUAACUAUAGCCACCAGCUAAAAGCAAUCUAACCCAAGCAAGUGAAUAAUAAAUAAAUGACAGAUGAUUCCAAAACAAUCUCACAUAUUUUCUAAGCUGUCUACAAUAUUUUUUGGCAUCAUCAACAACAAAACAGUUAGGUAUCAAGCUUCAAUGGAAGGUGAAGGAAAUGGAGGAAAAUCCAAGUACAGCAGUCGAAAUCAUUACCUAAAUGCACGAUAAAGUGGACG